CAGCAUCGCCGCGGUAAUACAGAGGGUGCGAGCGUUAAUCGGAUUUACUGGGCGUAAAGCGUGCGUAGGCGGCUAAUUGAGUCGGAUGUGAAAUCCCCGAGCUUAACUUGGGAAUUGCAUUCGAUACUGGUUAGCUAGAGUGUGGGAGAGGAUGGUAGAAUUCCAGGUGUAGCGGUGAAAUGCGUAGAGAUCUGGAGGAAUACCGAUGGCGAAGGCAGCCAUCUGGCCUAACACUGACGCUGAGGUACGAAAGCAUGGGGAGCAAACAGGAUUAGAUACCCCUGUAGUCCCUGUCUCUUAUACC
This 304-nucleotide ribosomal RNA is filed under the name uncultured bacterium. Its description in RNAcentral is "partial 16S ribosomal RNA". It matches the Rfam family "Bacterial small subunit ribosomal RNA", at positions 509 to 808 of the family's 1533-position model. The record is from RNAcentral.